AAGAGUUGCAAAACUCCCAAACACCAUUGUGAACCUCACCUAUACCGUUUCCUCGGCGGGCGGCGGCUAACUGCCCCGACCAGCCCGCUCCCUUAUUGGGGAGUAAGGGCUGGGCCCGCCGGAGGCGCACCAACUCUUGGUUUUAAUUGGCCUCUCUGAGUCAUACUUUUUAUAAAAUAAAGUCA
RNAcentral lists this unclassified non-coding RNA (185 nucleotides) under uncultured fungus. RNAcentral's name for it is "sequence contains ITS1". The record is from RNAcentral. Lineage: Eukaryota; Fungi.